Molecule: ribosomal RNA, 497 nt
Filed under: uncultured bacterium
Lineage: Bacteria
Description: partial 16S ribosomal RNA
Rfam family: Bacterial small subunit ribosomal RNA
Source: RNAcentral
GAUGAACGCUGGCGGCGUGCCUAAUACAUGCAAGUCGAGCGAACGGACGAGAAGCUUGCUUUUCUGAUGUUAGCGGCGGACGGGUGAGUAACACGUGGAUAACCUACCUAUAAGACUGGGAUAACUUCGGGAAACCGGAUCUAAUACCGGAUAAUAUUUUGAACCGCAUGGUUCAAAAGUGAAAGACGGUCUUGCUGUCACUUAUAGAUGGAUCCGCGCUGCAUUAGCUAGUUGGUAAGGUAACGGCUUACCAAGGCAACGAUGCAUAGCCGACCUGAGAGGGUGAUCGGCCACACUGGAACUGAGACACGGUCCAGACUCCUACGGGAGGCAGCAGUAGGGAAUCUUCCGCAAUGGGCGAAAGCCUGACGGAGCAACGCCGCGUGAGUGAUGAAGGUCUUCGGAUCGUAAAACUCUGUUAUUAGGGAGGAACAGAUGUGUAAGUAACUGUGCACAUCUUGACGGUACCUAAACAGAAAGCCACGGCUAACUACGUG